This 377-nucleotide ribosomal RNA is filed under the name uncultured cyanobacterium. RNAcentral describes it as "bacterial SSU rRNA". It matches the Rfam family "Bacterial small subunit ribosomal RNA", at positions 376 to 770 of the family's 1533-position model. The record is from RNAcentral. Lineage: Bacteria; Bacillati; Cyanobacteriota.
CGCAAGCCUGACGGAGCAAGACCGCGUGCGGGAUGACGGCCUAAUGGUUGUAAACCGCUUUUCUCUGGGAAGAAGAUGACGGUACCAGAGGAAUAAGCCUCGGCUAACUCCGUGCCAGCAGCCGCGGCAAUACGGAGGAGGCAAGCGUUAUCCGGAGUUAUUGGGCGUAAAGCGUCCGUAGGUGGUUCAUCAAGUCAGCUGUUAAAGAGCGGAGCUCAACUCCGUCGGAGCGGUUGAAACUGGUGAACUAGAGUUUGGUAGGGGUCGAGGGAAUUCCCAGUGUAGCGGUGAAAUGCGUAGAUAUUGGGAAGAACACCGGUGGCGAAAGCGCUCGGCUGGGCCAAAACUGACACUGAGGGACGAAAGCUAGGGGAGCG